RNAcentral lists this transfer RNA (72 nucleotides) under Firmicutes bacterium CAG:460. It matches the Rfam family "tRNA". From Rfam's summary of the family: Transfer RNA (tRNA) molecules are approximately 80 nucleotides in length. The record is from Rfam by way of RNAcentral. Lineage: Bacteria; Bacillati; Bacillota.
GGAACCGUAGCCAAGUGGCUAAGGCGUGGGUCUGCAACACCCUGAUCACCAGUUCGAAUCUGGUCGGUUCCU